UACGUAGGGGGCUAGCGUUGUCCGGAAUCAUUGGGCGUAAUGAGCGUGUAGGCGGUCCGGUAAGUCCGCUGUGAAAGUCGGGGGCUCAACCCUCGAAUGCCGGUGGAUACUGUCGGGCUAGAGUGCGGAAGAGGCGAGUGGAAUUCCUGGUGUAGCGGUGAAAUGCGCAGAUAUCAGGAGGAACACCGAUUGCGAAGGCAGCUCGCUGGGACGUUACUGACGCUGAGACGCGAAAGCGUGGGGAGCGAACAGG
RNAcentral lists this ribosomal RNA (253 nucleotides) under uncultured bacterium. RNAcentral's name for it is "partial 16S ribosomal RNA". It matches the Rfam family "Bacterial small subunit ribosomal RNA", at positions 524 to 776 of the family's 1533-position model. The record is from RNAcentral.